AAAAUAAUUUUAGUAAACCCUAGUUAUUUCCAGGGGGGUUGCUGGGGGUUCUGUCAUCCCCAUUUCAAGUUUCUGUAAAAGUAGACAUGAUGCACCACUCUAAUGCAUGAACUAACUAGGGUGUGACAUAUUGUUUGUUGUUGGUCCUUGAUCUAAUGUGGUUAAGAUAAACUGUGGGAAAUAGUUCUGGAUUUGUUGUAUGGUAGUUUGCAACUGAAUUUGUGACUAUUUUGGAUACUGACCCCAAUUAAGGUUAUCUUGAAAUCGUGGAUGCACACGUGGUUUGUGUUCUUUUAUCAUGGGGUAUCUGUUCUUUUGCACAUUGGUAGAAAGUUGGUUACUGUCAGGUAAGUUCAUCUCCAUUAAUGCCACCCCACAUAUUUUCCUUUAUGAUGCUGGAUGUUAUUUGUUUAUGUGAACACAUUUGAUGUAGACCCAAAACCUACUACUAAACGGUUCCAAUAAAUAAUGCAUAUGGCCGUAGAACUCUUGAUCAACAUUCUGUGAGCAGACUAAGAAGUGACCUAAUACUCGUAUGCAAAUCACAGUCAUGCCAAUUUCAGUAUUGUCUAAAUUUAUCACGAUGAAACUACAUCUGCUGUUCUAGAUUCAAGUUGAGUCUUGACCUCUAUAAAUAUGUACUUGCUUUUCCUCUCCAUAGGUUUCUAGCAUUUUGAAUGUAUCCUAUUGGCACCUAAUUACAUCAAUUUUCGUUGCAAAUCAAAUUAGAAAUCCAUUGCCCCCUGUACAAAAUCAACUUUCAAUGGAUCAUGCCCAUGCAUAACUUCAGUUUUGGCUGGAUUUUGGAAUUGACAAACAUUAGUUGUAUAUGUGUAUUCAGGUAAAGAAAAUACAUGGUAUUCAAACUAUUCUGGUUUCUCUAUUAAAUCGAAGAUGACAACGACAUCGACGAAGGGAUGAGGCGGCAAUAGUUGCAUUCUCUGUAUAUGAACGGAAGACCUAGAAGGUCGUCUCCUCGAAAGGGAUGCUUCAUUUACAAGAGCGGCUCUCCCCAACAACACUGUUGUGAUGUACCGAAGCCUCCCGUUGCACAUGCUGGGUACUUACACCUCAACGUCACUUCUAUGAGUUGUGGCCUAGAUCAGCAUGUGUAUGUGCCACAGCUUGUGGGAGGGACAAAAUGGGAGGUCGCCUUGAAAUUGUGGAAGUGCAAGGGAGGCCGGAAGAGUGCAUUGCUACGCUGCUGCCCUGUUUCUCCUUAUUGCUGCCGACUCACCUUCGUGUAGCGCUAUUUCCAUAGGGAACCAGCAACAACCACAUUAUGAAAGGGUCAAGGAGCACUGAUCCGAUAUGCAUCAAUGAUAGUGAAGCCGGCAAAGCGACGAGUUCACCUGGCCCUCAGCAGCGGCAGCGACGAGCUCGCCUAGCGCUCCUACCACGUCGCUGGUGCGACCUCCUUGCUAGAUCCCGGCCAUGGAGUGUAGCAGCCUCGGCGCAGCGACUGAGUUGCUCCUAAAUGCGCGGAGCAGUACCGCUUGGCCGGCGAAGUGGCCGGUAGCAGGAAGUCCGCCGUCGUAAAUAGUUGUAAAAAAUGGUCAUGUGUUCCUAUUCAAGAUGGAAAUGGGACCCCGAAACCCGCGUCCCCGUGGGUUUUUACCAUAUUAGGGGAUGGGGAUGGGCGACUUUCUAUUCCCACGGGGCUGCUCGUGGGUACAUUAUUAAACCCGGCAUGUUUCAUGGGUUUAAACCCGUUUGAGUACUACCCGAACCUAAAACCCGACAAAACCCGUCAAAAUACAUUAUUUAGCA
Long non-coding RNA from Triticum aestivum (bread wheat), 1770 nucleotides. RefSeq lists it as uncharacterized. Lineage: Eukaryota; Viridiplantae; Streptophyta; Magnoliopsida; Poales; Poaceae. The transcript is spliced from 6 exons. The record is from RefSeq and is a predicted model, not a curated record.